RNAcentral lists this ribosomal RNA (2287 nucleotides) under Apherusa bispinosa. Its description in RNAcentral is "bacterial SSU rRNA". It matches the Rfam family "Eukaryotic small subunit ribosomal RNA". The record is from RNAcentral. Lineage: Eukaryota; Metazoa; Arthropoda; Malacostraca; Amphipoda; Calliopiidae.
CCUAUCUGGUUGAUCCUGCCAGUAGUCAUAUGCUUGUUUCAAAGACUAAGCCAUGCAUGGCUAAGUCCUAGCUGUGCGUUGUUGGUGCAAGCCUUCGCGCACGGCGAAACCGCGGACGGCUCAUUAAAUCAGUCGUGGUCCAGAUGGGCUAGUGUUAUCUUACUUGGAUAACUGUGGUAAUUCCAGAGCUAAUACAUGCAACUCUAAGGUCUGAUCGGCCGGGCUUUGUUCGGCUGUGACGACUGCUUUUAUUAGACCAAACCGCUAUGAGCUUCGGCUCUUAGACCCGUGUUAUGGUGACUCUGAAUAACACCACUUGACAAGCGCACGUAUCCACUUCGUUGGGACGGCGCUGCCACUUUCGAGUGUCUGCCUUAUCAGCUAUGUAUCGUUCGUUAUGUGCGAACGAUGGCUUUGACGGGUAACGGGGAAUCAGAGUUCGAUUCCGGAGAGGCAGCCUGAGAAACGGCUACCACGUCCAAGGACGGCAGCAGGCACGCAAAUUACCCAAUCCCAGCACCUGGGGGAGGUAGUGACGAAAUCUAACGAUGCGGGCGCCCCUUCUGGGGCCCCGCAAUCGGAAUGAGCAUUUUCUUUCUAAACACCCUGUUGAGAACCUACUGAAGGGCAAGUCUGGUGCCAGCAGCCGCGGUAAUUCCAGCUUCAGCAGCAUAUACUAAUGUUGCUGCGGUUAAAAGGCUCGCAGUUGAAUGUCAGUAUCGAGCGUAGCAUGGUGGACGUUGGGGUUUGUCUUUGCUGAAGCUUGGUGUGGUGUCCUCGGACGUCUCCCUUGUGGAAGCGGGGCAAGUUUGAAGCUCCCGUCCGUGUCAAGCCUCCUCGCUCGUGUACAAAGUGGAUGGGUCUGUUACUGGGUUGUUGUGAAGGGGAUCACUCUCUGGAUCAUCACACCCUUGAGCCUCCAAUGGCACCUUGAGUAAAUCAGAGUGCUCAAAGCAGUCGUAAGGAGGGUUCCGUUUCGGCGGGCCCUCCGUGAGUAAUGUCAUUGUGACAGACUGACUUGGUUUUGCAUGGUAUGUCGAAAGACGCCGCCGCUGUUGGUAACGGGUCUUUGUGCGGGUGUGCCAAAGAGUCUAUGGCUCUGAGGUGCACGUUCAAGAACCAACAGUUGCGGAAUGAUUAAGAGGAACGGUCGAGGGCAUUGGUAUUGCGAGGCGAGAGGUGAAAUUCUAUGACCCCCGCAAGACCUCCUGAAGCGAAAGCGUCUGCCAAGGACGUUUUCAUUAAUCAUGAACGAAAGUUAGAGGAUCGAAGGCGAUCAGAUACCGCCCUAGUUCUAACCCUAAACGAUGCCAACCAUCAAUCCGCGCGUAGCACCCUUUCUAACGGGCUCGGCGGGCAGCUCCCCUCUCACGGGAAACCAGAGUCUCUGGGUUCCGGGGGGAGUCUGGUUGCAAAGCUGAAACUUAAAGGAAUUGACGGAAAGGCACCACCAGGCGUGGAGGCUGCGGCUUAAUUUGACUCAACACGGGCCAUCUCACCAGGCCAGCACUCUUGUAUGAUUGACAGAUUGAGAGUUCUUUCUCGAUUCAGUGGAUGGUGGUGCAUGGCCGUUCUUAGUUGGUGGAGUGAUCUGUCUGGUUAAUUCCGAUAACGAACGAGACUCUCCCCUGCUAACUAGUCGGUUGGAUCUUGCUAUAAGAGUGGCGAGGUGUGAGGGGUUGUGUGUGUGCGCUUGCUUUCGGGCUUGUGUGCGUGCGCUCUCUUUGCGCUCUCUGCCACUUUCAAGUCUACCGCUUGCCUGGCUGUGGGGGGUUCGCGCGUGCACACGGUGGGCAAAACUCUUCUUAGAGGGAUUGACGGUUCUGAAGCCGUAAGAGAUUGAGAGCAAUAACAGGUCUGUGAUGCCCUUAGAUGUUCUGGGCCGCACGCGCGCUACAAUGCCGGGCUCAGCAGGUGCUUGUCCUUCUCCGAGAGGAGUGGGUAACCCUGUGAAAGCCCUUUAAACACUCUUGGUGCUGUGUUCUCUGAACUCAGCCUCUUGGCUUGCUUGGGCCUGGGACUUGCAAUUCUUUCCCACAAACGAGGAAUGCCUAGUAGCGGCGGAUCACUGAGUUCGCUGUGACUCAGUCCCUGCCCUUUGUACACACCGCCCGUCGCUACUACCGAUUGGAUGUACCAGUGAGAUCCUUGGACUGGCGAGCCUUGCGCACUGUAGUUCGCUGCAGAGUGCUUGUGUGUACGACGGAAAGAGGCUCGAACUGGUAUAUUUAGAGGAAGUAAAAGUCGUAACAAGGUUCCCGUAGGUGAACCUGCGGAAGGAUCAUUA